RNAcentral lists this long non-coding RNA (391 nucleotides) under Hordeum vulgare. Its description in RNAcentral is "long non-coding RNA (HVUL_LNC019312)". The record is from RNAcentral. Lineage: Eukaryota; Viridiplantae; Streptophyta; Magnoliopsida; Poales; Poaceae.
UCAUUUUUUGUGUGGAAUCUGUGUUGCGGAAUCUCUUUUCCGGACACACUAGCUUUUCCCUUUUUUUGCUAGUAGUAUCUAAACAUGUUUUUUUUUCUUUUGUUGCCGUGUAUGAUCAGGACACAACCUCGUUGCUCAACUUCCGCAAGUACAUCGCAGCAAAGCUUUUCAAACAUCCGCAAAACACCCUCAGCUCGGAGGAGGAGCUCGAAAAGUUGCUGAAGAAGUCAUAGUUUCAAGUGAAAAGACGACCGCAACAAGACCUAGCUAGUAGUUUUAGUCUUCUUUUUUUUCAGUGCAUGUGUGCACGACAUGUGUUUUUGCAACUGAGUUCUCUAGUUACCUCAUCCUGAUCCUGAUGUGUUACAGAGACAUUACGUGAUCUUUUUUG